RNAcentral lists this long non-coding RNA (620 nucleotides) under Homo sapiens (human). RNAcentral describes it as "non-protein coding NUTM2A-AS1:38". Lineage: Eukaryota; Metazoa; Chordata; Mammalia; Primates; Hominidae. The record is from RNAcentral.
AGUUCUUCCCGGCCGCCGCCGCCUCCGCCCCGCCGCUUCCUCCUCCGCCUGCCGGCCUCCUUCGCCCCGCCCCGUCCGCGCAGCUCGUCCGGCCCGCCCGCAGGCCAGCUUCUCUCGGGAGCCUCCACCCAGGCGCAUGGCUCCAUGAAGCAAGAGGAGGAGGCAGAGCGCGAGAGAUCCCGUCCGCCCCAGCCGCGUCUGGGCCAGGAGAAAAGCAAAACCAUAUUCCUGCUGCUGUCAGUUUUGAUGCACUGAGAAAACUUCAGAGACCUAAGCUUUUUCCAGAGAAGAGAAGCUUUACUGGUGUUCCAGCCCUAAGGCUCAUAUGACAUUAACAGACAAGACACUUUUCAGAAAGACAGGCAACGUGUUGGACCUUCCGGAGCUUCUCAGAAGACAGAGGGUUUUCUUUUGAGGCUGUUGUACAGUGGCCUGAUUAUAGCUCACUGUAGCCUCGAAAUUCUGGGCCGAAAUGAUCCGCCUGCCUCAGCCUCCAAAGUAGCUGAGACUACAGGCUGGUCUUGAACUCUUGGGCUGAAGAGAUUCUCCCACCUCAGCCUCCCAAGGUGUUGAGAUUACAAGCAUGAGCCACCUCACCUGGCCAAGAGCUAGUUGUUAAA